GGAUGCGAGGGCGAUCUGGCUGUGACAUCUGUCACCCCACUGAUCACCAGGGUUGAUUUGGCUGAUCUGUCUGGAUAGGCGGUUGUCCCCUUCCUCCCUCACCGCUUCAAGUAUGUCCCUCCUGAAGCUGCGUGGUGGGUCAAAGAGGAUACAGAAGGACCAUUUCCUUUUCAAGGGUAUAUGAGUAGCUGCGCUCCCCUACUAGAACCUCCAAACAAGCUCUCAAGAAAACUACAAAUCUGUGAAAAUUUGUAUUUUUAUUUUUCCUCACAGACUAACUCAGUUA
Molecule: unclassified non-coding RNA, 286 nt
Organism: Fukomys damarensis (Damara mole-rat)
Lineage: Eukaryota; Metazoa; Chordata; Mammalia; Rodentia; Bathyergidae
Gene: 7SK
Rfam family: 7SK RNA
About the family: 7SK was discovered as an abundant small nuclear RNA in the mid-70s but a possible function has only recently been suggested. Two independent studies have found that 7SK RNA binds the CDK9/cyclin T complex (known as elongation factor P-TEFb).
Source: Ensembl